This 440-nucleotide ribosomal RNA is filed under the name uncultured bacterium. Its description in RNAcentral is "bacterial SSU rRNA". It matches the Rfam family "Bacterial small subunit ribosomal RNA", at positions 338 to 795 of the family's 1533-position model. The record is from RNAcentral.
CCUANGGGUGGCUGCAGUGAGGAAUAUUGCACAAUGGAGGAAACUCUGAUGCAGCAACGCCGCGUGGAGGAUGACGCAUUUCGGUGUGUAAACUCCUUUUAUUAGGGAAGAUAAUGACGGUACCUGCAAAAGAAGCUGCGGCUAACUACGUGCCAGCAGCCGCGGUAAUACGUAGGCAGCAAGCGUUGUUCGGAGUUACUGGGCGUAAAGAGUGCGUAGGCGGUCCUCUAAGUUCGGUGUGAAAUCUCCCGGCUCAACUGGGAGGGUGCGCCGAAAACUGGAGGGCUUGAGUAUGGGAGAGGAAAGCGGAAUUCCUGGUGUAGCGGUGAAAUGCGUAGAUAUCAGGAGGAACACCUGCGGUGUAGACGGCUUUCUGGACCAUGACUGACGCUGAGGCACGAAAGCGUGGGGAGCAAACAGGAUUAGAUACCCGUNUANUC